Micropterus salmoides (largemouth bass) is the source of this 317-nucleotide long non-coding RNA. RefSeq lists it as uncharacterized. The record is from RefSeq and is a predicted model, not a curated record. The transcript has 3 exons. Lineage: Eukaryota; Metazoa; Chordata; Actinopteri; Centrarchiformes; Centrarchidae.
CCAGCAGUGCCACCAUAGCCAGGGCCAACACCCCCUGCUGGAACAAUGGACACAUUACAGCCUGCAUCACUUAAUAAAAUGCACUUCUCUGAUCAGACUGGUCUCAACAGCAGUCAGUGUAGCAAUGCUCCAUUUAAACUGACCUGGUAGGCUGCCCGCUCCUCCUCCUUGACCUGUUCCUGCAGGACCUCCUGGCCCUCCUGUCCCUCCUGCUACACUACCUGGGCAGCCUUGGCCCUCUGGUCUGAAGCCUCCUGUUCCUGUGCCAGCGCCACCUGGUCCAAAGCCACCGGUUCCUGUGACAGCACCACCUGGUC